CAGCUAGUUGGUGGGGUAAAGGCCCACCAAGGCUACGAUCCUUAGCUGGUCUGAGAGGAUGAUCAGCCACAUUGGGACUGAGACACGGCCCAGACUCCUACGGGAGGCAGCAGUGGGGAAUCUUGCGCUAAUGCGGGAAACCGUGACGCAGCGACGCCGCGUGAGGGAAGAAGGCCUUCGGGUUGUAAACCUCUUUCAGGAGGGACGAAGCCACUCGGGUUAAUAGCCCAGAGGGUGACGGUACCUCCAGAAGAAGCCCCGGCUAACUACGUGCCAGCAGCCGCGGUAAUACGUAGGGGGCAAGCGUUGUCCGGAUUUAUUGGGCGUAAAGAGCGUGUAGGCGGCUAGAUAGGUCCGUUGUGAAAACUCGAGGCUCAACCUCGAGACGUCGAUACGGGCAUGACUGGAGUUCGGCAGGGGAGACUGGAAUUCCUGGUGUAGCGGUGAAAUGCGCAGAUAUCAGGAGGAACACCGGUGGCGAAGGCGGGUCUCUGGGCCGAUACUGACGCUGAGGAGCGAAAGCGUGGGGAGCGAACAGGAUUAGAUACCCUGGUAGUCCACGCCGUAAACGGUGGGCGCUAGGUGUGGGGGCCAUUC
RNAcentral lists this ribosomal RNA (597 nucleotides) under uncultured Actinomycetes bacterium. RNAcentral describes it as "SSU rRNA". It matches the Rfam family "Bacterial small subunit ribosomal RNA", at positions 242 to 834 of the family's 1533-position model. Lineage: Bacteria; Bacillati; Actinomycetota; Actinomycetes. The record is from RNAcentral.